GAUCAUGGCUCAGGACACGCUGGCGGCGUGCCUAACACAUGCAAGUCGAGCGAAGCAUUUGAAAGCUUGCUUUUUAGAAUGGACUGAGCGGCGGACGGGUGAGUAACGCGUGAGCGACCUGGCCUUUACAGGGGGAAUAACAGUUGGAAACGACUGCUAAUACCGCAUAACACAUCGAGGGGGCAUCCUCUUGAUGUCAAAGAUUUAUCGCUUAUGGAUGGACUCGCGUCUGAUUAGCUAGUUGGUGAGGUAGAGGCUCACCAAGGCGACGAUCAGUAGCCGAACUGAGAGGUUGAUCGGCCACAUUGGGACUGAGACACGGCCCAGACUCCUACGGGAGGCAGCAGUGGGGAAUAUUGCGCAAUGGGGGAAACCCUGACGCAGCAACGCCGCGUGAAGGAAGAAGGUUUUCGGAUCGUAAACUCCUGUCCUCAGGGAAGAGCAGAAGACGGUACCUGAGGAGGAAGCCCCGGCUAACUACGUG
RNAcentral lists this ribosomal RNA (484 nucleotides) under uncultured bacterium. RNAcentral describes it as "bacterial SSU rRNA". It matches the Rfam family "Bacterial small subunit ribosomal RNA", at positions 15 to 507 of the family's 1533-position model. The record is from RNAcentral.